RNAcentral lists this ribosomal RNA (254 nucleotides) under uncultured bacterium. RNAcentral's name for it is "partial 16S ribosomal RNA". It matches the Rfam family "Bacterial small subunit ribosomal RNA", at positions 524 to 776 of the family's 1533-position model. The record is from RNAcentral.
UACGUAGGGUGCGAGCGUUGUCCGGAAUUAUUGGGCGUAAAGAGCUCGUAGGCGGUGUGUCGCGUCGGCCGUGAAAACCUGGGGCUCAACUCUGGGCGUGCGGUCGAUACGGGCAUCACUUGAGUUCGGCAGGGGAGACUGGAAUUCCUGGUGUAGCGGUGAAAUGCGCAGAUAUCAGGAGGAACACCGGUGGCGAAGGCGGGUCUCUGGGCCGAUACUGACGCUGAGGAGCGAAAGCGUGGGGAUCGAACAGG